RNAcentral lists this ribosomal RNA (460 nucleotides) under uncultured bacterium. Its description in RNAcentral is "partial 16S ribosomal RNA". It matches the Rfam family "Bacterial small subunit ribosomal RNA", at positions 338 to 795 of the family's 1533-position model. The record is from RNAcentral.
CCUACGGGUGGCUGCAGUGAGGAAUAUUCGUCAAUGGACGAGAGUCUGAACCAGCGACGUAGCGUGAAGGAUGACUGCCCUAUGGGUUGUAAACUUCUUUUAUAUGGGAAUAAAAUGUUACACGUGUGGGAUUUUGUAUGUACCAUAUGAAUAAGGAUCGGCUAACUCCGUGCCAGCAGCCGCGGUAAUACGGAGGAUCCGAGCGUUAUCCGGAUUUAUUGGGUUUAAAGGGAGCGUAGGUGGGUUGUUAAGUCAGUUGUGAAAGUUUGCGGCUCAACCGUAAAAUUGCAGUUGAAACUGGCAAUCUUGAGUACAGUAGAGGUGAGCGGAAUUCGUGGUGAAGCGGUGAAAUGCUUAGAUAUCUCGAAGAACUCCGAUUGCGAAGGCAGUUCACUGGACUGCAACUGACACUGAGGCUCGAAAGUGUGGGUAUCAAACAGGAUUAGAUACCCCAGUAGUC